RNAcentral lists this ribosomal RNA (303 nucleotides) under uncultured bacterium. Its description in RNAcentral is "partial 16S ribosomal RNA". It matches the Rfam family "Bacterial small subunit ribosomal RNA", at positions 507 to 808 of the family's 1533-position model. The record is from RNAcentral.
AGCAGUAGCCACGGUAAUACGUAGGGUGCGAACGUUAAUCGGAAUUACUGGGCGUAAAGCGUGCGCAGGCGGUUGUGUAAGACAGGUGUGAAAUCCCCGGGCUUAACCUGGGAACUGCGCUUGUGACUGCACAGCUAGAGUAUGGCAGAGGGGGGUGGAAUUCCACGUGUAGCAGUGAAAUGCGUAGAGAUGUGGAGGAACACCGAUGGCGAAGGCAGCCCCCUGGGCCAAUACUGACGCUCAUGCACGAAAGCGUGGGAGCAAACAGGAUUAGAUACCCGCGUAGUCCCUGUCUCUUAUACA